Molecule: ribosomal RNA, 868 nt
Filed under: uncultured bacterium
Lineage: Bacteria
Description: bacterial SSU rRNA
Rfam family: Bacterial small subunit ribosomal RNA
Source: RNAcentral
UAGAGUUUGAUCCUGGCUCAGGACGAACGCUGGCGGCGUGCUUAACACAUGCAAGUCGAACGGGGUGUUUAUUUCGGUAAACACCAAGUGGCGAACGGGUGAGUAACGCGUAAGCAAUCUACCUUCAAGAUGGGGACAACACUUCGAAAGGGGUGCUAAUACCGAAUGAAUGUAAGAGUAUCGCAUGAGACACUUACUAAAGGAGGCCUCUGAAAAUGCUUCCGCUUGAAGAUGAGCUUGCGUCUGAUUAGCUAGUUGGUGAGGGUAAAGGCCCACCAAGGCGACGAUCAGUAGCCGGUCUGAGAGGAUGAACGGCCACAUUGGGACUGAGACACGGCCCAGACUCCUACGGGAGGCAGCAGUGGGGAAUCUUCCGCAAUGGGCGAAAGCCUGACGGAGCAACGCCGCGUGAACGAUGAAGGUCUUAGGAUCGUAAAGUUCUGUUGUUAGGGACGAAGGGUAAGAAUCAUAAUAAGGUUUUUAUUUGACGGUACCUAACGAGGAAGCCACGGCUAACUACGUGCCAGCAGCCGCGGUAAUACGUAGGCGGCAAGCGUUGUCCGGAAUUAUUGGGCGUAAAGGGAGCGCAGGUGGGAAACUAAGCGGAUCUUAAAAGUGCGGGGCUCAACCCCGUGAUGGGGUCCGAACUGGUUUUCUUGAGUGCAGGAGAGGAAAGCGGAAUUCCCAGUGUAGCGGUGAAAUGCGUAGAUAUUGGGAAGAACACCAGUGGCGAAGGCGGCUUUCUGGACUGUAACUGACGCUGAGGCUCGAAAGCUAGGGUAGCGAACGGGAUUAGAUACCCCGGUAGUCCUAGCCGUAAACGAUGGAUACUAGGUGUGGGAGGUAUCGACUCCUUCCGUGCCGGAGU